Non-coding RNA from Acidobacteria bacterium 13_2_20CM_57_17, 73 nucleotides. The record is from Rfam. NCBI's taxonomy places the organism in Bacteria, Pseudomonadati, Acidobacteriota.
AUUUCGGAAGGCGAUGGAGUUCGCCAUAACCGUCCCGGCACUGUUCACCGGGUCUGAUGACUCCUGGCAGACG